CACGGCUUCUGAGGGUGAGAGAAUUGGAAGGUGAGGAGGGUGAGGCUGGUGGAAUCAGGGAGGUGAGAAGGGGUGAGGCUGGGGGGAAUCAGGUGAGAAGGGGUGAGGCUGGGGGAAUUAGGGAGGUGUGUUGCCCUGCAGCUCCCCAGCAGAUGGGCUGUGUGCAGGAAGUGGGUUUCUGGGGGUCCCUGGGGCCUUCUGGCUGGGUGGGGCAGUGGGGAGGGGACGGC
This is a long non-coding RNA of Erinaceus europaeus (western European hedgehog), 230 nucleotides long. RefSeq lists it as uncharacterized. The transcript has 3 exons. Lineage: Eukaryota; Metazoa; Chordata; Mammalia; Eulipotyphla; Erinaceidae. The record is from RefSeq and is a predicted model, not a curated record.